CUUCACGAAUUAACUGAGUGACCUACAUCAAAUCCUAGCGUGUCCUAGGGCCUUGGUUUUGCCUUCUGUAAAAGGAAGAGGCUGCACAAGUUGUCCAAAAGUCCUCCAGCUCUAAAAUUCUAAGGGUCUCCUCCUUUCAGGUCCUUAGCUGGCUUUCUACCGAAUUAAAAAUUUAAAACCCAUAUGAAAACGUGAGCUAGACAAAAGAAUUAAAUGUUUGAACUUCGGUCGGCCUACUUUAUGUUUGUUCAAAACUGUUGACCAUUUCCGAUCCAGUGCAGGUGAUAUUUCACGUUCACAGUUGACAGAAAUCUCUUGAAUUUCAGCCUCCGCUAAGGAGCGACACUGCGCUUGUUUAUGCCUAGCCAGAAUGGAAUGGCUGCGGUAUACACAGUGGUAUUUGCCAAGUAAUUUCAUUCUUUAUAUUCCCCAUGAAGGCCCUCCAGAGUGGAUCAGCAUAACUCUAUUUAGCUGAGAUACUGACAGGGCUGGGAAGAAACCCUGCUGAAAGGGCGGUUACAGUUCCAACUUUGAUUCCCUGAAGGAUACUUAUAACAACCACAUAUUAGACCAAGAAUGCACAGAAAGAGUUUAUCUCUGGGGCCCCCCACACCACUUAUUUGGAUAGUGCUUUAGUUUGCAAAUUCAACUUGUUGAGUCAAAUUUAAGGCCAGUAACAUCUCAUCUAUCUGACAUCACAGCAGAAUGACAUCCCACUUAAAUGAAAAACUUGAGCGGCCUCCCCAUCAUCUGAUAGAGAACGUUCGUGUUUUCUUGAAUGCAGCCCUCUGAAAAUUACUUAGGCUUGGUCAUUAAAGAGCAGUGCUAUAAUUAUCAACAUUAUUGUAUGCCAUUUUAAUCAGUGAAUGUUCUCUAAAAUAUGCAAAAUUUGUCCCUAUAAUAAAUGGCCUCUAGGAUGCUGGUUUUUGUGUUUUUGUUUUGUUUUGAACUUCUGUUUUUGCUAUCUCCUUCCUCACUACUGGGCUGACACUUCUCUAUUCUUCUACCUAACAACCUUCUUUCCUACUUUUUUGAUGCGUCUAUGCCAUUAUGAACUUGGACAUCGAUAAACUUUUAUUAGCUUAGACUCUCAGGUUUUGUAGAAAGAUUUUCUGUGGGGUUCUCCUGUGUUAAGUACAUAAGUUCUUGUGACAUUUAUUUUCACUGGUCAGUGAAUGGUGUUCACUUCUGUCUUAAAUUUUGGAGGUAUUCUCAGUAACUGUGGUUUCUGAAUAUGGGGACUCUGGGAAAAUGUUGCA
This 1259-nucleotide long non-coding RNA is filed under the name Homo sapiens (human). Its description in RNAcentral is "HSALNT0231237". Lineage: Eukaryota; Metazoa; Chordata; Mammalia; Primates; Hominidae. The record is from RNAcentral.